CCGGACUGGACUCCUAAAGCGUUCGCCGACUACUCUCGGCCAAAUUUAAAAGGCGGAGGUCUGAGCGGUCCAUUCCCUUGGAGCGCGAAAGUGCCCGUAGGGCGGCUUCCAGCUGGUCGCGGUCCUGACCUAGGCACAAGACUGAUGACUUCCGAUGUCUGUAAGAGUAAAGAUGCAUGGAAAUAUUUAAAGGAAGGAAAGAGUGAAUGAUUGAAAAUAGGCCUGACCCUAACCUUUGCAGGGUCCAAGGCAGGAAUAUACAUGGAGGCAUACAUACCAUGUGUCUUGAUAUUUAAAUGUGCAAAUCAAUGUAAUAAACUGUGAAAUAAGAUUCAACCUUUCUGUCUUGGCAAACAUACUUUUGUAGGUCAGAAGGCCAGAGCUGGAUUUAGAAUUCUCAGAUUCCUUGGAGUUCUGCUCUGGAUAUGGUAGAUGGGGGAGGCAUUCAAGUGCCUACCCCAUUCCUUUUCACUCCUUGCUCCACUAAGCAUUGUGAGGUGACACAUGUGCACAGUUGUGGAAACCCCAGCAAAAACAUACUUCAUCCAUCUUCACCCUCAUAAAUAGCUUCCUCUUUACCUCACCUCAGGCCUGGUGGUCUACACACUGGAACCAGGAACAAGGCCCACAGAGGCCCACAGAAGCAGGCACAGGGCCAUUUGGGCAGGAGAUUCUGGGGUCACCAAGCCUCACAGCAUGUUGUAGAAGAGGGGAGGCAUGAACCCAGGAGAGCACAUGUCCCAGCCUCCGCAAACUCCUUGCUCGGGGCAGAAGGGUAUGACCA
This is a long non-coding RNA of Manis pentadactyla (Chinese pangolin), 784 nucleotides long. RefSeq lists it as uncharacterized. The record is from RefSeq and is a predicted model, not a curated record. NCBI's taxonomy places the organism in Eukaryota, Metazoa, Chordata, Mammalia, Pholidota, Manidae. The transcript is spliced from 3 exons.